CCUGUGGUCACUGCCCCUUACCCCACCUAUCAGAGCCACCAGGCUCCCCCUGACUACGCAUACAGGCAGCCAGACCCCCCGGCACCCCCACAGCCCACCACCACCCCUCAAACGUACCAGGUAUACCCGGAAACGCAGGACAACUACAGCUACGGGCGUCCUGCAGCUGUGACUACCUAUGACAAUAAACAGUACUACCAGACGAGUAUAGCUCCGGCUCAGAGGACACACACAGAGAAUUACUACCAGACUGGAGUAAAGAGCGCUUACAGUCCAGCCCCCUCCACAGUGUACAGCCAGCCUCCUCCCCCCCAGCGUCAGGUAACGGCCCUCAAGCCUCUGGCCCCCUCUGUGUCCACCAGCUACAACAUCUACCCAGUGUCCACCAGUGUCCAGCAGCCGCCCACACCCAUUUCAUCCUACACCCUCGGCUCCUCCUUCGGCUCCACUGUUGCGGCCACCACCUACUCAGGCAUUAGCUACUCCAGUUAUGACUCAACUGGCUAUACCUCCACAGCCACCCCCUCCUAUUACCAGCCUGCCCAGCAGACUCUCACCCAGCCGCAGCCUCCACCUCAGCAGCUGCAACAGCCCCUGCCCCCCAUCCAGCCGCCACCGAAGCAGCUGACGAGCUCUUCCU
RNAcentral lists this long non-coding RNA (640 nucleotides) under Cyclopterus lumpus (lumpfish). Its description in RNAcentral is "lncRNA (ENSCLMG00005005832.1)". The record is from RNAcentral. Lineage: Eukaryota; Metazoa; Chordata; Actinopteri; Perciformes; Cyclopteridae.